RNAcentral lists this long non-coding RNA (645 nucleotides) under Setaria viridis. Its description in RNAcentral is "long non-coding RNA (SVIR_LNC009200)". Lineage: Eukaryota; Viridiplantae; Streptophyta; Magnoliopsida; Poales; Poaceae. The record is from RNAcentral.
UGAUGGAUCAGCAUAAGGGCAAGGAGGUUUUAAACUGAAAAAUGAGCGAAAAAAAGCGCACAUGAGGCAAGGAGGUUUUAAACUAGAAAAAUGAGCAAAAAAAUUAUCCCACAUGAGGAUUGCAUGUAUCAGGAGAAUAAAUUCAGGAAAAAUAGAGGCACGAAGGGGAGUCAAAUUGAGGUCUUAGGGAACAAUCUUAUAUGUUCUUGUGUUUUAAUUUGGGAAUAUAUAUAUAAUUCAGAAAAAAUGGUGGACACACCACAUGGGGAUUGCAUGUAUCAGGAGAAUAAAUUCGGGAAAAAUAGAGGCACGAAGGGAGUCAAAUUGAGGUCUUAGGGAACAAUCUUAUAUGUUCUCGUGUUUUAAUUUGGGAAUAUAUAUAUAAUUCAGAAAAAGGGGUGGACUUUGGGAAUAUAUAUAUAAUUCAGAAAAAGUGGUGGACACAUGGGUUCGAAAACCUAGAUCUCAGGUUCACACACAAUUGCCUUACCAUUACACUAUGCAUCCAGUUGUGAGUUGUGUAAUUGUUUUGUAAUGUAAAUAUUUUAUAUAGGUUCGUUAUUUAGGAGACAAAAGUAGAGGUGCAAGGGGAUCGAACCCAAGACUCAUGCUAGAGAAGGACAUGGCUUACCAACGCACCACACG